Molecule: small RNA, 131 nt
Filed under: Citrobacter amalonaticus
Lineage: Bacteria; Pseudomonadati; Pseudomonadota; Gammaproteobacteria; Enterobacterales; Enterobacteriaceae
Description: RtT sRNA
Rfam family: RtT RNA
About the family: This family represents a bacterial cis-regulatory element known as RtT RNA.
Source: RNAcentral
AUUCUGCCCAUGCGGGGAAGGAUAAGAAGCUUCGAUUAAGGUUCGAUUCGAGCGUAGCGAGAACGCGUUGCCGCAGGCAACGACCCGAAGGGCGAGGCGCAAUGCGCCGAGUAAUCCUUCCCCCACCACCA